RNAcentral lists this ribosomal RNA (621 nucleotides) under uncultured bacterium. RNAcentral's name for it is "bacterial SSU rRNA". It matches the Rfam family "Bacterial small subunit ribosomal RNA", at positions 338 to 1533 of the family's 1533-position model. The record is from RNAcentral.
CCUACGGGAGGCAGCAGUGGGGAAUUUUGGACAAUGGGGGCAACCCUGAUCAAGCCAUGCCGCGUGUGUGAAGAAGGCCUUCGGGUUGUAAAGCACUUUUGUCCGGAACGAAACGGCGAGGGAUAAUACCUUUCGCUAAUGACGGUACCGGAAGAAUAAGCACCGGCUAACUACGUGCCAGCAGCCGCGGUAAUACGUAGGGUGCAAGCGUUAAUCGGAAUUACUGGGCGUAAAGCGUGCGCAGGCGGUUUUGUAAGUCAGAUGUGAAAUCCCCGGGCUCAACCUGGGAACUGCAUUUGAAACUGCAAGGCUAGAGUGUGUCAGAGGGGGGUUAGAAUUCCACGUGUAGCAGUGAAAUGCGUAGAGAUGUGGAGGAAUACCGAUGGCGAAGGCAGCCCCCUGGGAUAACACUGACGCUCAUGCACGAAAGCGUGGGGAGCAAACAGGAUUAGAUACCCUGGUAGUCCACGCCCUAAACGAUGUCAACUAGUUGUCGGGGAUUAACUUCCUUGGUAACGCAGCUACGCGUGAGUAGACCGCCGUGGGAGGUACGGUCGCGAGAUAAACUACAAUAGAGUAGACGCGNGAGACGUGCCGACGGACGACGACGAGGGAGGUAGG